GACGAACGCUGGCGGCGUGCUUAACACAUGCAAGUCGAACGGAAAGGCCCUGCUUUUGUGGGGUGCUCGAGUGGCGAACGGGUGAGUAACACGUGAGUAACCUGCCCUUGACUUUGGGAUAACUUCAGGAAACUGGGGCUAAUACCGGAUAGGAGCUCCUGCUGCAUGGUGGGGGUUGGAAAGUUUCGGCGGUUGGGGAUGGACUCGCGGCUUAUCAGCUUGUUGGUGGGGUAGUGGCUUACCAAGGCUUUGACGGGUAGCCGGCCUGAGAGGGUGACCGGCCACAUUGGGACUGAGAGACGGCCCAGAGUCCUACGGGAGGCAGCAGUGGGGAAUAUUGCACAAUGGGCGGAAGCCUGAUGCAGCAACGCUGCGUGCGGGAUGACGGCCUUCGGGGUGUAAACCGCUUUCGCCUGUGACGAAGCGUGAGUGACGGUAAUGGGUAAAGAAGCACCGGCUAACUACGUG
This 468-nucleotide ribosomal RNA is filed under the name uncultured bacterium. RNAcentral's name for it is "partial 16S ribosomal RNA". It matches the Rfam family "Bacterial small subunit ribosomal RNA", at positions 28 to 507 of the family's 1533-position model. The record is from RNAcentral.